AUGAGGCGGUGGACAAAGACGCCGUCUCGUCUCGUCUCAUCUCUGCAGGUAGAGCGGCCAGAGGAGCAGACCAACAUCCCUCUUUACCUUCCACGCAACACCAACAUGGGUGCUAGAGCUGCACUUAAUUUGCUAACAUCAUCGCCUUGUUCUUCCUGGCAACGUAAGGACCAUCAACUUCCAUUUGCAACUCUAGCACAAGUUAAGAGUGAGGAUGGUGAGACAACCGACCGCCGCAAGGUUCUACAAAUGGUUCUCAGAGGUUUGAUGGCGAUGACAUGGCGCAGUCGAUCAAGUUUUGGUCAAUGUUUCAUGGCUCAAUCAACGAAUGGUGUUAAAACUGCUAAUCCUGAAAGCAAGAUUUUGAAUGAUUCCUACCUCGAGCUUCCGCUUCACUUGUUUCUUGGUUGUUCAAGUAUGCUUGGUGGUUCUUCAUCGAGGGUUGAGAUGGACCAUGCACUGGUUACAUCUUCUCCUAUCUCCAUGUUCUUAAUUUUCUUGUGCAAUGAGAGCUGUAUUAAGACAACAGUUUGUGCAGUCCAUGCUUUUAACAUUGAAAAUGAGAGGUGA
This 570-nucleotide ribosomal RNA is filed under the name Triticum aestivum (bread wheat). RNAcentral's name for it is "partial small subunit ribosomal RNA". The record is from RNAcentral. Lineage: Eukaryota; Viridiplantae; Streptophyta; Magnoliopsida; Poales; Poaceae.